Molecule: ribosomal RNA, 892 nt
Filed under: Escherichia coli
Lineage: Bacteria; Pseudomonadati; Pseudomonadota; Gammaproteobacteria; Enterobacterales; Enterobacteriaceae
Description: partial 23S ribosomal RNA
Rfam family: Bacterial large subunit ribosomal RNA
Source: RNAcentral
GGGGAGGAGCCCAGAGCCUGAAUCAGUGUGUGUGUUAGUGGAAGCGUCUGGAAAGGCGCGCGAUACAGGGUGACAGCCCCGUACACAAAAAUGCACAUAUUGUGAGCUCGAUGAGUAGGGCGGGACACGUGGUAUCCUGUCUGAAUAUGGGGGGACCAUCCUCCAAGGCUAAAUACUCCUGACUGACCGAUAGUGAACCAGUACCGUGAGGGAAAGGCGAAAAGAACCCCGGCGAGGGGAGUGAAAAAGAACCUGAAACCGUGUACGUACAAGCAGUGGGAGCCUCUUUUAUGGGGUGACUGCGUACCUUUUGUAUAAUGGGUCAGCGACUUAUAUUCUGUAGCAAGGUUAACCGAAUAGGGGAGCCGAAGGGAAACCGAGUCUUAACUGGGCGUUAAGUUGCAGGGUAUAGACCCGAAACCCGGUGAUCUAGCCAUGGGCAGGUUGAAGGUUGGGUAACACUAACUGGAGGACCGAACCGACUAAUGUUGAAAAAUUAGCGGAUGACUUGUGGCUGGGGGUGAAAGGCCAAUCAAACCGGGAGAUAGCUGGUUCUCCCCGAAAGCUAUUUAGGUAGCGCCUCGUGAACUCAUCUCCGGGGGUAGAGCACUGUUUCGGCAAGGGGGUCAUCCCGACUUACCAACCCGAUGCAAACUGCGAAUACCGGAGAAUGUUAUCACGGGAGACACACGGCGGGUGCUAACGUCCGUCGUGAAGAGGGAAACAACCCAGACCGCCAGCUAAGGUCCCAAAGUCAUGGUUAAGUGGGAAACGAUGUGGGAAGGCCCAGACAGCCAGGAUGUUGGCUUAGAAGCAGCCAUCAUUUAAAGAAAGCGUAAUAGCUCACUGGUCGAGUCGGCCUGCGCGGAAGAUGUAACGGGGCUAAACCAUG